Balaenoptera ricei (Rice's whale) is the source of this 589-nucleotide long non-coding RNA. RefSeq lists it as uncharacterized. Lineage: Eukaryota; Metazoa; Chordata; Mammalia; Artiodactyla; Balaenopteridae. The record is from RefSeq and is a predicted model, not a curated record. The transcript is spliced from 3 exons.
GGGCUAAUGCGUCGAUACAGAGUAACUUAGUAUUAACUUUAAAACUUGUUUUUGGAGAUUUCUAAUAGCCUGGUCCUAGCGUGGGCUGGAGGAGACACGCAGCGAGGUGGAUGUUGUCCUCUCACAUCCUCAGAGGCCCAGGUGAAUCUACUAGUGACCCUUGAUCAAGUCGUCUAUAUUCUUGGUAAGAGAUCAGGGACCCAACUGCCUGGUCAGACACCAGGUAACCAACAUCAAGAUGAAGAGACUCAGGACUUCCCUGGUGGCGCAGUGGUUGGGAAUCCAUCUGCCAAUGCAGGGGACAUGGGUUCGAGCCCUGGUUCGGGAAGAUCCCACAUGCCGCGGGGGCAACUAAGCCUGUGCGCCACAACUACUGAGCCUGCGCUCUAGAGCCCGCGAGCCACAACUACUGAGCCCGCGAGCCAAAACUACUGAGCCCGCAUGCUACAACUACUGAAGCCCAUGCGCCUAGAGCCUGUGCUCUGCAACAAGAGAAGCCACCGCAGUGAGAAGCCCGCGCACCACAACGAAGAGUAGCCCCCGCUUGCCGCAACUAGAGAAAGCCCGCGCGCAGCAACGAAGACCCAAU